Molecule: ribosomal RNA, 895 nt
Filed under: uncultured bacterium
Lineage: Bacteria
Description: bacterial SSU rRNA
Rfam family: Bacterial small subunit ribosomal RNA
Source: RNAcentral
GAGUUUGAUCAUGGCUCAGGAUGAACGCUGGCGGCGUGCUUAACACAUGCAAGUCGAACGGUGAAGCCAAGCUUGCUUGGUGGAUCAGUGGCGAACGGGUGAGUAACACGUGAGAACCUGCCCUGGACUCUGGGAUAAGCGCUGGAAACGGUGUCUAAUACUGGAUAUGAGCUCUCAUCGCUUGGUGGGGGUUGGAAAGAUUUUUCGGUCUGGGAUGGGCUCGCGGCCUAUCAGCUUGUUGGUGAGGUAAUGGCUCACCAAGGCGUCGACGGGUAGCCGGCCUGAGAGGGUGACCGGCCACACUGGGACUGAGACACGGCCCAGACUCCUACGGGAGGCAGCAGUGGGGAAUAUUGCACAAUGGGCGGAAGCCUGAUGCAGCAACGCCGCGUGAGGGAUGACGGCCUUCGGGUUGUAAACCUCUUUUAGCAGGGAAGAAGCGAGAGUGACGGUACCUGCAGAAAAAGCGCCGGCUAACUACGUGCCAGCAGCCGCGGUAAUACGUAGGGCGCAAGCGUUAUCCGGAAUUAUUGGGCGUAAAGAGCUCGUAGGCGGUUUGUCGCGUCUGCUGUGAAAUCCCGAGGCUCAACCUCGGGCCUGCAGUGGGUACGGGCAGACUAGAGUGCGGUAGGGGAGAUUGGAAUUCCUGGUGUAGCGGUGGAAUGCGCAGAUAUCAGGAGGAGCACCGAUGGCGAAGGCAGAUCUCUGGGCCGUAACUGACGCUGAGGAGCGAAAGGGUGGGGAGCAAACAGGCUUAGAUACCCUGGUAGUCCACCCCGUAAACGUUGGGAACUAGUUGUGGGGACCAUUCCACGGUUUCCGUGACGCAGCUAACGCAUUAAGUUCCCCGCCUGGGGAGUACGGCCGCAAGGCUAAAACUCAAAGGAAUUGACGG